AACGAACGCUGGCGGCAUGCCUAACACAUGCAAGUCGAACGAGAUCUUCGGGUCUAGUGGCGCACGGGUGCGUAACGCGUGGGAAUCUGCCCUUUGGUUCGGAAUAACAGUUGGAAACGACUGCUAAUACCGGAUCAUGACGAAAGUCCAAAGAUUUAUCGCCAGAGGAUGAGCCCGCGUAGGAUUAGCUAGUUGGUGUGGUAAAGGCGCACCAAGGCGACGAUCCUUAGCUGGUCUGAGAGGAUGAUCAGCCACACUGGGACUGAGACACGGCCCAGACUCCUACGGGAGGCAGCAGUGGGGAAUAUUGGACAAUGGGCGAAAGCUUGAUCCAGCAAUGCCGCGUGAGUGAUGAAGGCCUUAGGGUUGUAAAGCUCUUUUACCCGGGAUGGUAAUGACAGUACCGGGAGAAUAAGCUCCGGCUAACUCCGUGCCAGCAGCCGCAGUAA
This 449-nucleotide ribosomal RNA is filed under the name uncultured bacterium. Its description in RNAcentral is "partial 16S ribosomal RNA". It matches the Rfam family "Bacterial small subunit ribosomal RNA", at positions 29 to 523 of the family's 1533-position model. The record is from RNAcentral.